AGCGUCAUAGUUAAGCACGUAACCAGUCCGCAAUUCGCUGUGAGUGCAUAGGGGAGAGUGGGCAAAAUGCCACCCUACCUCAAUCUGACCAUGACUACUCUCCUGCUCAAACAGGAAGUACCAGUGAUAGGAACGUAUCCAAACCAAAAAAAUAUGGAUUACAGGCAACAUCCGUGCUGGACUAAAGGCUAGAGCUACCCCUUACAAGGAACAGGAUAUGGACAUGGGCACAUACAAGAAAUCCCGCUACGACAUCAGACGAGACAACAAAUAUGCAAAAGGCCAGUAUAGGACUAAGGUGGAAUCCUAUUACAUAUCUCCGACACUCGUCGAAUGUGGCAGGGCUUGCAGACGUUAACGGAUUACAAAAGGGAAACCCAACCAUGAGUUGCCCAGUGAUGCAGAACUCCCAAACGAGCUAAAUGGCUUUUAUGCUUGCUUCGAGGAAUAUAACACUGUGUCUUGCGUGAAAGCCUCUGUUUUUCAGAAUGACUGUGUAAUCUCGCUCUCCGUGGCCGAUAUGAGCAAAACGUUUAAAAAAGCUUAACAGUCACAAGGCCACCGUCAUUCUCAAAGCAUGCGAAGACCAGCUGGCAAGUGUCUUCAGACAUUUUCAAUCUCUCCUCGUCUCAGUCUGUAAUCCCAACAUGUUUCAAGAUGACCAUCAUUUUGUCCCUGUUCCCAAGAGCCCCAAGGAAGAAGCUUACUGAACGGUCUGAAGCAAGCAUUGAGGUGUCAGAAUUCACAGUCAAAGACAGGUAAAAGAGACAAAAAUCAAUUUGUCUAACCUCAUUGGAACAUUGGGUAAGACCCCCAGUGCCUUAAUGAAGACGAAGAAGCAGCCGAAGAACCUUCAACACAACCAGAGCACCCUGGAAACACCCCUGACCAGGAAGUAGACAGAACGGAUCCAAAGAGAAGUGGCUUUUGAGAAAACGUCAAAAGAGGUGUCCUGCUGGCAGAGUGUAGUCCUACAGAACCAGAAGGCAUAGCAGCUGGUCUUCCCACUGAACCAGGAGCCCUCUGGCCCAAAACGCAUAGAGCAGGUGGUGGCUGGAUGGACGGUUGGUGUAAAAAGUUCCUUUGUUUUAUUUCUGUUUGUGUUCCAUGAUUGUAAACAAAUUUCAGAUAUUAUGUGCUCCAGGACCCAAACCUUCCUAGAACAAGAGAUAUUCAGCCUCCUGCACAUGAACAAGCAGCCUCUCCAUGACCCUGUUCUGACACCCACUGAGGAGGCUUCUCUGAGGGCCAUGAGUCUGGAGGGAGUCCCACCUCAAGUAUCCAGCAUGGGGUCAUAUGCAUAGGAUAAGCUACAUCUGGUGUGUUAGUGCUGGGCAAGGGCAAAGACCUGCACACACUACUGCCCUUGACUUUAUUUUGUAAGUGCACUAAAAGGACAAUGUACUGGAAAAACAACAAUGAACAAAGGUUUUUCUAGAUGGUUAUUGAUGGUCUCACUUACCUACAACCAAUAUAUAAAACUAGAUUUUUUUUUUGUCAGGCUAAGAUCCGCCAUGCAGAUCUCCAAAAAGCCAGAGCUCUAUAGUUUUAUCAUGAAGCGAAAGUCAAAAGGGAAAUAAAAAUUAAAAACCGGGGCAUAUCCUUCCAAUAUAGUGUACAGUUGACCAGGGCAUAUCCUUGCAUGAGUGACUCAGCAGUAAUCCGCUUCCAAAGAUCAUCUCUUUAUUCAAGGCUCCCAAUUCACUCUCUUCCUCCAUCUGCCCUCUUUGUACAUGGUGCCGGAUUAUUAUUUUAAGCCCCUUUUCUCCCCAAUUUCGUGAUUACGAUCUUGUCUCAUCGCUGCAGCUCCUCAACGACCAAACUACAGAGGCAUGCUUUUGGCGGCCCGAUCGGCAGCCAGCAGCCAUGCUUUAGGAAGUUGGCAACUUGUCCUACAGAUUCCAAAUUCCUGCAGGUACGUUAUUUGCUUCCUGUGUGAACUCAGCCCAAAUGUUCAGGGAAUGCGCAAGGUGUCAUCACCCAUGCCCCAAUACUAACUUGAAGGACAACACUACUGUGUUUACCUGGAUGCAUGCCACCCAACACCACCAGCACAGUUUAAUUUAUGUCAGAACUUAAGAACACCAAAUCUAAUAUUUCAACCUUUGUGAAUCUAUGAAAAUAGAUGAUCCAUUUUUGUCUGCACUUAUUACACAAAUGAUAUGAAAUGUCAUUGAAUGUAAUGUAUGAUAAGAAUUCAAAGAAAAUAAAUACAUUUACCAUUAAAUGAUAAUGAUAUGACAAAUUAUAACAAGUGUGUAUAUAAAUCUGUUUCCCCUCACACAGCUUGAAUAACAGCACUGAAAGGCAAGCUUUCAUUAAUCUGCAUUGCCCUUUUUUCAGAGCCAGUGGAGGCUCCUCAGAGGAGGAAGGGGAGGAUCAUCCUCCUCAGUGAAAUUUCAUAAAAAUAGCGAAACAUUAAAAACUAACCUAUAUUCAUAUACAUAUAUUCAUAUGUCACCAAAUAAUUGGUUAAAAUAGAACAGCAGUGUCUGGGCUAGCACCAUGGUGUGGCUGUAGGACAGCUAGCUUCCGUCCUCCUCUGGCGACAUUGACUUCAAUACAAAACCUAGGAGGCUGGUAGGCCUCACCC
This is a long non-coding RNA of Oncorhynchus tshawytscha (Chinook salmon), 2593 nucleotides long. RefSeq lists it as uncharacterized. The transcript is spliced from 4 exons. Lineage: Eukaryota; Metazoa; Chordata; Actinopteri; Salmoniformes; Salmonidae. The record is from RefSeq and is a predicted model, not a curated record.